This 347-nucleotide long non-coding RNA is filed under the name Bos taurus (domestic cattle). RNAcentral's name for it is "long non-coding RNA NONBTAT023760". The record is from RNAcentral. Lineage: Eukaryota; Metazoa; Chordata; Mammalia; Artiodactyla; Bovidae.
AGUUUAUCCAUGAGGGGAUAUAGUGUGUUUCAAUUUAAGCCCUUUUGUCUACAAGCAGUAGAGACCCGCUCAGCUCAUUUGGAUUGAAUUUAUAAUUUGUCUCCUAAAGAAGAUUUUUAUAGGAAACGUGUAAGAACUGAACUCUAUGCUGAAAAUUUAGUUCAAGCUAUUUAGACUUUAUAAUGUUGCUGUAAUGUGAAAUGAAUCCAGCAGGGGUGAUUGUGAGGGUAAUCAUUGUCUUGUGAUCGGAAAGUCAUUGACAAUUAAUACUGCUGUGUGAAACAGCCACUCUUGCCCAUUGUCUCCCAGGACACAUUUUCCCUAGACGAGUCUCAUUUCUCUCUUAA